CAGACAGGUGCACACUGUGGUAUAUUGUGUCAGAUCUCCGCCAAAAUAAGAUGAAUUUUACGGACAAAAGUGUGUUUUCUUAGCGGUACAUGUCGAGAUAAGUUCCCGACGACAACAACUAGUGUUUGUGGUGACGUCAGAUGGUUGAAAUGUAUGAAGAGCAAGUUGCUAACUCUGUUAGCUUGAUGUUAUCGAUAACUUUGUUAGCUUAAUGUCGCCGUGGCUAAGCUAAUCCUUGUGAUGUAACUGUUUGAGCAGCAAAAUGAAUUUAUUUCAUGUCGUUUUAUGUCAGUGUUGCUCUAUUGAACUAUGCUGAGAGCUGAGCUGGCUGUGGAAAACGUUAUGUGUCCGUGUUUCUCAUCAGUGGCUGCGUGCGCACCAUUAUUUCAGUACUAACCCCCUGAAAAGGCAAGGUGAUGUUUGUCAGAGGGAAAGGGAAAAUGCAGCAUGAGCUCCAGAAGUUCCCGGGGAGUUGUUGUGAUGUACUCUGGGGUUGAUAGUUUCAACAACGUCACUGCAGAUCAAGCAUUGGAACAAGGUUUAUGGCUUAAACAGGCACCCAACGAGAGACAAGUCCACCAUUAAUGCACCAAAGAUCCAGCUGAUUACUGGCAAUUUGCAGGAGGAUUCUUCUUUAUCUGCUACGUUGCAUUGUCACUUCUGGUACAGAUUCAUUGGCCUUUUGUGGUUUUUUUUCACAGUGCAUCCAUCGAUCUAUCUAUCUAUCUAUCUCUCUAUAGUGGAUUAGGACACCAUAUUCCUCUGUGGUUCAUAUGUACAGAAGCCGAUCCUGCACGGUGUUUCCAAGGCUCAAUCAGCUGGCUUCCUCCGUGAGUCCGUGAGAUCAGGGGACCACACCCACAACCGCAGUCAAGCUUCAUCUGUGAACACUUUGGAGUUAUACUUUACUGACCCUCACUGAGUCAGGACAGUGAAAUGUUUCCCCCAUGUAGAGUCAGUCUUUAUAACUCGACAACAACUUCAAACCAUCCCAGAAUCACCAAAGAAACCAAACCUAGCCCCCUGGCAACCCCACAGGAACAUCCAUCCACUGUUUAAACAAACACCCUGGAAACUAACACAGAAACACCAAAGCAAUUUCCCUUUGAGAAAUGUUUUACCAAGCGCUCAGAUUAUAUUAUCAGUGACACGCUGCCAAACACCUUUCAUAGACAGGAUUAGGAUUUUGACUCACGUUCAUAUUUGCCAUGAAAGUGAUUCAGCUGAGGAAUUGUGAUUCAUUUCUCUUCCAACCCACAGUGAGAAGUGAGAGACUGUUUUUCCCCCUUUAACCUUCCCUUAGCCUGUGGAAACAAUGAUACCAUAACAGGCUGGCAGCUCAUAGCUAAUCUGAAAUGUACUUUAGAUCAUGACAAUUUAAAACAUGAGAAUAUCAUUGAAUGGUUGGUUCUUCCAUUUGUUCUUUACCACGUAUCAGUUGAGUGGUUCUCAGCUGAAACUGGGAGAUCAUGCAGAUCACACAGAGACUAAGGUCAAUUUUGAGUCUAGAAUUGUCCAACUCUUAUCUUCAUGUCUUAUGACUGUGUGGGGGACACCUCACUUAAAAUAAACCCCCAUAUAUGCCUGCUUAAUUAAACACGCACUAUUCUGCCACUAGGGGUCUGUCAACCAAAACAAUAACAAGGCACUCAGAGAUUUCGGACUUCACCCCAUUCACACGACACGUCUCUGUCAGUGAGGAAACGCAGACAGACACACAGAGCCACUAAAAACAAUACUUCACUCCCACUCCGCGGUAGUAACAAAGCACCUGGUUUGAUGGCAUCAGGAAGCAGCGUGGGAUUAUGGGACUUCUGUUGAGGGAAAUCUUUGGGGGAAGAAUUAAAUAAAUUUAACAUGAAAAGACACUGGUCCCGGUUCACUGGAAAGACCAAAUAUUUCCAUCGUCAUUCUCAUGUUUCAUCGAGGCCAAAAUAAAAUGGUCCAUUACCUUGAA
Solea solea (common sole) is the source of this 1957-nucleotide long non-coding RNA. RefSeq lists it as uncharacterized. The transcript is spliced from 6 exons. NCBI's taxonomy places the organism in Eukaryota, Metazoa, Chordata, Actinopteri, Pleuronectiformes, Soleidae. The record is from RefSeq and is a predicted model, not a curated record.